ACGGAUAAAAUGACAGUCCACUUCAAUAUGCUUGGUACGUUAAUGAUAGACAGGAUUAGUAGCUAUAUGCAGAGCUGUCUGACUAUCACAAUACAAAUUCAUAGGUUCAGUAUGCGCCACACCAAGAGAAUUCAAUAAUCCUUUCAACCAUUUAAGUUCACAAGUUGUAGUACUCAUAGACCGAUAUUCAGCUUCAGCGGAUGAGCGAGACACUGUCUGUUGCUUUUUUAGUCUUCUACGAGAUAGGGGAUUCACCUAAAAGAACAAAAUAACCGGUCAAAGACCGUCUCGUCAAAGGACAGCUAGCCCAAUCAGAAUCACAGUAAGCAGACAAUUUGAGAUCACAAUUGGCAUGCAGUAGUAUACCCUGACCUGGAUUUCCUUUCAAAUAAUGCACAACUCUAACAGCUGCCUCCCAAUGAGCUUUCUUCGGUUGUUGUAUGAACUGAGAAAGAAUAUGCACACAAUAAGAUAACUCGGGCCGAGUUAUUAUUAGAUAAAUAAGCCGUCCCACCAGACGCCUAUACUGAGCAGGGUCAUCCACAUCAUCACUCUCGGUAAGGGCCAGCUUGUGAUUUUGUUCAAGAGGAGUUUUAGC
Molecule: unclassified non-coding RNA, 598 nt
Filed under: Hevea brasiliensis (rubber tree)
Lineage: Eukaryota; Viridiplantae; Streptophyta; Magnoliopsida; Malpighiales; Euphorbiaceae
Source: RNAcentral